This 169-nucleotide ribosomal RNA is filed under the name Channa punctata (spotted snakehead). Its description in RNAcentral is "partial 12S rRNA". The record is from RNAcentral. Lineage: Eukaryota; Metazoa; Chordata; Actinopteri; Anabantiformes; Channidae.
CACCGCGGUUAUACGAGAGACCCAAGUUGACAGUCCAACGGCGUAAAGAGUGGUUAAGAAAAACUCAAACUAAAGCCGAACGCUUUCUAAGCUGUUAUACGCACUCGAAAGUAAGAAGCUCAACUACGAAAGUGGCUUUAUAUUCUCUGACCCCACGAAAGCUAAGAAA